AGCGAACGCUGGCGGCAGGCCUAACACAUGCAAGUCGAACGGACCCUUCGGGGUUAGUGGCGGACGGGUGAGUAACACGUGGGAACGUGCCUUUAGGUUCGGAAUAGCUCCUGGAAACGGGUGGUAAUGCCGAAUGUGCCCUUCGGGGGAAAGAUUUAUCGCCUUUAGAGCGGCCCGCGUCUGAUUAGCUAGUUGGUGGGGUAAAUGGCCCACCAAGGCUACGAUCAGUAGCUGGUCUGAGAGGAUGACCAGCCACAUUGAGACUGAGACACGGCCCAAACUCCUACGGAGGCAGCAGUGGGGAAUCUUGCGCAAUGGGCGAAAGCCUGACGCAGCCAUGCCGCGUGUAUGAUGAAGGUCUUAGGAUUGUAAAAUACUUUCACCGGUGAAGAUAAUGACUGUAGCCGGAGAAGAAGACCCCGGCUAACUCGUGCC
RNAcentral lists this ribosomal RNA (435 nucleotides) under uncultured bacterium. Its description in RNAcentral is "bacterial SSU rRNA". It matches the Rfam family "Bacterial small subunit ribosomal RNA", at positions 29 to 509 of the family's 1533-position model. The record is from RNAcentral.